Diabrotica virgifera virgifera (western corn rootworm) is the source of this 691-nucleotide long non-coding RNA. RefSeq lists it as uncharacterized. The record is from RefSeq and is a predicted model, not a curated record. The transcript is spliced from 3 exons. NCBI's taxonomy places the organism in Eukaryota, Metazoa, Arthropoda, Insecta, Coleoptera, Chrysomelidae.
AUAUUUUGAAUAUGUAAUUAGAAGGCAUUAAAACAACACCGAUUUAUCUGGUUUUGUUGACGCUGUUUAACAUGUGAAGUCGGUAACAGUGGUCGGUGGUAUUUUUUUCGCUUGUAUAAUAAUAUCCUAUCCUACAUGGUAUUAGCGCUGUAUUAUAGUAUACUGCAGGUAUUAGUGACAGUGUUGUAGCGGUAGAUCUAGGGAAACGAUGCAUUUUGUAACGAAGACGUUGGUGUUUUUUGCUGUUCUCAUAGUGUGUCUUAGCCUUCCACAUGGAAAUUUUUAUUUUCCUGAUGAAUUUGACGACAUUAAGAACAAUCCACAACAAUUUAACCGAUUUGGAGAAACAAGUAAUACGAAGACAAAUACUACUACAAAUAGUACUAUGCAACUCGAUAAUCGAUUUUUAGUAGAUAUUCCUUGUAAUCCACCUAACAGGAUGAUCAGAGGCAAAUGUAGAACAGUUUACAAUAACCGAUAAAAUUGUUAUAGAGGGAAAGAUAAAUCACCCUCAGAAGACUGUGGAAAGUACAAUUCAGAUAAAAGUUUCAAUAUAUUUAUAAUUGCCAGCUUGCCGUAUUUACGUAAAAAAGCUUUAACGUGAUAUGUUGAUAUUUAAUUUAAUUUUAGUUUAUAAGUUAAAAUAAAUUAGAUGUAAUGAUAUUUAUUUAAAUAAAUAAUACAAUUUAAA